Molecule: unclassified non-coding RNA, 205 nt
Filed under: Hevea brasiliensis (rubber tree)
Lineage: Eukaryota; Viridiplantae; Streptophyta; Magnoliopsida; Malpighiales; Euphorbiaceae
Source: RNAcentral
UGCUUCAAGGAAAUGCUACUCCGAUCAUGUACUUGUCAGGCGAUUCAGAUUCAAUUGGCGUCAGAAAUUUAGAAUCCUUUGAGCUGACCACUCAAACCGGCUGAAGCUAUCCAUUUCUCCAGCGUUGUGGCUGACGACACAAACGCCGACUUGGAUGAAUCAACAUCACUCUUGUUCACAGAUGUAAUCAAGGAGGCCAAGGAGG